This 1954-nucleotide long non-coding RNA is filed under the name Anas platyrhynchos platyrhynchos (common mallard). Its description in RNAcentral is "lncRNA (ENSAPLG00000026951.1)". The record is from RNAcentral. Lineage: Eukaryota; Metazoa; Chordata; Aves; Anseriformes; Anatidae.
GAAACUAUAAGCAUCUAUUUGAUAUUGAUAGUACAGAAAGAUGUCAGCUGAGUUUAAUAUUAAGAUAAUAUUAAUAUUAAGAUAUAUUGAAUAAAUCAACACUGGACUAUCAAGCUUCCAAAUGCAAAGACUUGGACCUUUAUGUAGGGAACAUGGUACUCUGGCUCCUGAUGAAUUCUUCUUCCAGAGAAAUGGUAAUUUGAAGGGUCAUUUUGUUGGAAAAAAAAAAACAGAUAAGGCAUGUGUUAUGAAGAUAUUGCACAAAGUUAUAUCAAGACUAGGAAAGUAAACAUCAAAAUGAUACUAAAUCAUAACUGCACUUGUUCCCAUUUCUAUAAUGGUAGAAACUAUGCUCAACCUUAAACAGAAGAAAAACAAGCAGAGAAAUACUGCUCUAAGUGAAACACAAUAGUUUUUUUAUUAUCUAUUGAUCACAUUUUGACCUCAUUGCUCUCUGGCACAAUCAUUAGUUUCAGUGAGCUACAUCAGUACAAAGAAAGUUUAAACUAUACCUUGUAUUGUUCUGUGAAUACUAGGAUAAAACAUUCAACACAGAAAUAUCUUAUUUUACUUAACUUUUUUUUCUUUUUUUUUUUAAUAUAUAUACUGAAAGAAUACUUGCUUCAUAUAUCACAUCAUAUAAAAGAGAUAUUUUAAACACUUUUAUGUUCAUUUAUAUAUUUCAGAUGUAUUGGGAACCUCUUUAUGUUUCAUUUUAGGUUUAUACUUAAGACCUUAUGAAUGAUCAUUGGUCUCCUGUUCUAUAAGAAGAUGUGGAAUGAUAAAAGAGUAUAUCAUGAUAUUUCAUCUCUGUGGUCUUUACCAUUUCUUACCACCCACAAGGACCGAGGCUACUUUCAGAGCUCCAGCAAUAUCACCUCCAGGUCAUUUGAGCAUUACAGAAGUCUGAAGGCUUAAGCCCACAUUAUGAACCAAAAUGAUCUUCCAGACAAUGAUUCUCUAAAUGACUCCCUGGAUUCCUGAGGUCUCCUCGUGUAUAUAUAGUCAACUUGUAAUCUUGACAUACUAACACAAAGACUGUGCAAUCCUCCUAUCUGGUGGUUCUGCCCCUGCCUCCGUCCUUGCUGAAGUGGCUUUCAAGAGAUGUGUGGGAUGCUGAGGUACCAAGUACCAGGCACAGUGGAGAACGUACCUGGUGUCUGCCUGGGCACAGCAAAGCAGUCUGUAUAGCAAGCAAGUGGUCUGUGGGAUGACAUUUGUCACUGGCAUUCCUUUGGUUGUGGAUAAGAUUGUGGUCAUUAGGAUACAGAGAAAAUGGGUCAUAAAAUAAGCUAAGAAUGAGUCUGUGAAAGCAUAGGUGUGGGAGGAGAGAGAGGAAAAGUUGUAUGAUUUUAUUUGUAUUCUUUGGAAACAGACAUUCACCUUAAUAUCAAAGCUCAAAGCUUUCAGACCCACUUAUAUGAUUUUCAUUACUUUUUAAAAAAUAAGCAAAUAAUUCCUAGGGCUUAUUGAAAAAAAAAUGUCAAGAGAACAAUAUCAUGACAGAAAAUAUUGUUUUGUCUAAAUGAAAAUGUUUUGUCAGAGCAGAUUUUCUGAUUUUAUGAGUUUCAGAGCAAUUAUUUUUGACUUUCUCAUUUGAAACUUUCUCUUUUCACUCUACCAAUGUCAAAAUAUUUCAUUCUGGUAUUGCUAAAAUGUUUCCUUGGGUAUAUUGUAUUGCAAUGUUUUGUCACUAUGAAAUAUAUCCAAAUGGUAGCUAAGAAAAACAUUUUGGUAAUGUCACUGCAAUGGUUUCAUAUAAACACCUUUUAAAUUUUCCACUGCAUGAAACAAUUAGUUAUAUUUUUUUAGCAUAGUUUGAGACUAAAACAGUAAAAUUUUAGAAUUUCACAUCAUAUCCAAAAAGCAUUUAAAACUAAUGCUAUAAAUUAUUUAAAAUUAAUUUAAAAUGAAUUCAAAUAAAGCAAUAUUUGAGUGGAUUUAGGUUGUGGUU